UAUUAAGACAUAGCAAUUAUUUCCCAUUUUCUCUCCAUCUGUAUGUUAAAUAAUACUGUACAGUACUUGUACUUGUGUGUUUUAUUUAUUAGGCCCCACAGGCUUCAUCAGGUUAUACCUCAGCAAACAUUUCUGGUCUUAGCAUGUGUGCAUCAACCAGUGAUGUUACAAGUCCUGCAAAAAGGCCCAGGCUGAGUAUUUCAAUGUUUGAAAGAUCAAGGUAUGGUGGCAAACAUGUGGCAGAAGCAAAACCAAACUUGAAUGUCAAGAGGAAAGCUUUGCAAACAUCAAAGGUAUCUGAAGCAGGUCAGGAACUUCACCAUACACCUUCAGCCACUUGUACUUCCCAAAAGCCUGCUCCACCUCAGUCCCCUCAUCUUCAUCGGUCCAUUUGCCCAUCCUCCUCAUUCUUCCUUGCUCCACCACCUGCACAUACAGACUAUUGUUCCCCAGCUUUGGCACAGGGGUGCAGCAGGUUGACCCCUGAUCACAGGGUUGGCGGUUCAAUUCCCAUUCUUCCAAGUCAAAGUGUCCUUGUGCAUGACAAUGAACCUCUAGUCAUUCCAGAUGGCCAUGGCAGCUCUGCUUGCCAUUCACCACUUUUAACAAUAUAUACCCUCAGCAGUCACUUUAGGAACACCUGUAAAACUGAACAUGAUCAAAUUCAACAGCCCUUCCAUAACACCUGUCUUUAUGAAGCUCCUAAUUGUUUCAGCUUUUGGUGAAACUGUUUUGGAAGCGCAUACAUUCAGUUAUACUGUAUGUAUAUUAUUAAGUUCAUAGUGAAAGGUGUUAAUGUGUAUAUUCUUGCCCACUUUUGUAUGUAAAUGGGGAGGAUGAAAAUAGUCUCACCCCUGAAUAUAAACUGCAGUAAAUCAUAAAACAGCUCAUAUCACUGACAGAUUCACUCACUCCUGCUCUUACAACCUCUGUUAUCACAUGAGGCGGCUUUGACACAUUCCCUCAGGUUUAUGAACAGGAAAAAGCUUGACAUCUCAGUGUGUGAUAAAUUCUAAACAGUGGUUCUUGCCUAUAGAAUGUUCUGACAAUGCUGGAAAUAACUAGAACUUUGUUCUCAGCAGAGAACCACUGAAAAAAAUAAAUGACUGUGCUUCCACCUAGUGGCCAGUAGUAGGUUCUAACCACUUCCAACACCUCCAUUAUGUGUAGAUGUGCUUAGGAACAUUUUAUAUGCUAAGUACAAGAAACCUGACAUUAAUAAUAAUGAAUAAAUAACCAUAAAAUCUUAUUAAUGUAAAAGUUUAUUUCAAAUACUGACAAAAAACCUCUCAUCUACUCCCACACAUCUGAAACAUUCCAAGUACUCCUGUACUUUCUAAAGUCUUAAAAUCAUUCCUGUGUUCUCCAGUUAUUCUCUUUAUCAAGUAAACCCUUAUUUUUCUUGGAAGCAAGGGUGCCUCUGAUUUCCCUGCAGUUAUCUUGGGCCAGGAUGAUAUAUAGUAAUUAUGCAAUAAGAGAACAAGAAACAUGAACUUGUAAAAUAAAAAGAAAACAGAUAAGGUAAAAGCAGCACAAAAGUACUUCAGAGUACACAGCCUGUCAUUUCUUUAUACAUUCUGGCACAUGUUUAUCAAAGCUGAACGAGAGAAACCCUGUGAGUUGGGUUUGAAACAUACCCUGUAAUUUCCUCUCGCUGAACUGCUCCGUGCAAAGCCAACCAUCAAGUAGCAUUCAAAGGUCCUGUCCACUGUUCACAGAACAUGUCAUCUGCCCAUUUCUUUUAGCAAUCUUUACUUCUUAAAGGACAAAAAAUGUAGACUUUUAAACACAAGAUGCUAAACGGUCUGUUGUCAGUCCAGUGACUUUUCUUUAAAGCUAUGGCCAGAUCAAAAGUUGAAUCCAAGUCAACAAAAAUUCUUUAAAAUGCAGCGACAGAAUCUGCAUCAAAGUUUACCACAGUCUGAAACUGAAUCGACUUUGCAACAGGAGCCAUAGGACUCGAUUUGGGGAGAAGGGAGUUGGACUGGUAUAACCAAGAGCACAAGUGUUCUGUACAGGGUAUCGUCUCUUAGAUUUGUCUUUGACUGAAUCAGCAGCAUUUACACAUUUUCAUAUACCAAUUCAUGUAGCCUCUGCAAUACACCAAGAUAGAGCAGAAGUAGUGUUAGACUGAAACAAGAGAGAGGAACCAUUAAAUCAGAAAUAGCUAAAGACUAUGAAAGAAUGAAAAGCAGGUGGGAAAACCACAGAAAUCCCUUCCUGUAGAAGUCUGUUUACAAUGGCAGGAACAGAGAAAAGGAGUGCAUUCAUACAACACCGUGGCAAGCACAUACAUACAGGUCAGUUCUCUUUCAUCCACUGCAAAUUUGACACAUUUUAAAGUUUCAAUGAAAAACAAGUGAGGUUAAGAAUGUGAUGGUGCAUGCACCCUAUCACCUAGACUACAUGGUGUGCAUUCCCUGAAGCAGUAUUGUACAAGGAGGCUGAUUCCCAGUGAGCGCCAGCAUCCAGUUCAGAUUCUUGACGGCACACAUUCAAAGUCUGCAGAUUUGGUGAUCGCUCCAUUGAGCUGAUCAGAACAAGCGGGACUUGAGUGUAGAGCACACAGUCGCACUUUGCCCCCUCACCAUGUGUUAUAAAACCUCUCUCUGCUUUGCCAAGUGUUAGAGCGAGUGCUUUCUGCAGGCAAGCGGUGUCCCACUUCAAGCCUGCGAUGACAAUCUUGGAAGCUGGACUAACACCUGUUGUCAGGCUGCCUACUGUUUACCUUCUGACACCCCUGAGAUCAAAGAUCAGUGAUGGUGUUUCAAUUUGCUAUGGGAGGGGGGCAUUCUUCUACAGGAUGCUGGUAGCAGGAGCAGGUCUAUAUACCAGCUAAGGUUUUAAAAAGUUAGGCUGUAGUAAUCUUUAACCAAGUUAGUGUUUCACUGCAUGAGUAGCCGAAGAGGGUAAGAUGUCAAGGGAACCACUAUAUCAAGAUAAUCUCCCACAAAAAAAGAGAAAUAUGAUUUUUUUUUUUUUUUUUUUAAUCCUUUAAACACAGCAAGUAGUCGUCAUUCUUUUGGUCGGUCCCAAAUAUGUGAAAACAAUUGCACAUGCACCACUGCAGGGCACAACUGUGAAGGCUACGACUGUGGUUACUUCUGUCCUUUUAAUGUGACCUUUGAGCAGAGAUAUUGAAAUGCUAACUUUUAGCAAUGCUUCAAUCGUGGUUGCAUCACUGUUCACAUCUCCAUGAGAUCCGAACAUUGUGUGAGGCAGAACUAGCCUGGGCUGCAGUUUGACUCAUCUCAUCACGGCGUGAGCCACAUGGCUAGAUGGUACCAGUUACAUUGGAAAGACAAGUAUACGCACCAUCUCUGAGCCUGAUAGCUGGCUGGUCUGGCCCUCAGAGCACAGUUUUGAGUAUUAUUAACAGAAACAUUUAUUCUAUAUGGAGUUUCUUCAAUUCCCCCCACAAAUCUUUUAGGUUCAUAGUAAACAUGUUUUGAUGCAACUCAACAGCCACCAAACUAAGACUGAACUCAGAGAUUGGUGGGGUUCCUGGUCGUUGAAAAUAAUACAAGGGUUAUACCCAGCUGGCUCUUGCCCUGGGCUAUGAACAACAGCGGGUGUACAAAGAUUGUCAGGACAGCAAAAAUGAAAGGAAGGAGGAAAGUGUGACUGUGGACACGUCAGCUUAGUUUGAAUACUUCCAAUAAUUAAGACGACCCACUUCCAUAAAAAAACCAAACAUGUUAAACAUCUUUUUUGUUACAAUCAUGCAGCAUAUUUAGAGAGAACAAGAGCAAAGGGAGUCAAGAGAUAAAGCAACAUGAGCAGAGAGACAGAAAGUGACUUUUAAACCCCUGUUUGAACCAUGCAGGAGAUGACCUUAGGUUUUGUUUGAUGAAAGGUGACCGAACGGUGAGAUGAAAAGUAGCUCGCAUUCACUUACUCUAUUUCCCCUAUGGAGUCAAUGAACAGAAAGGGGAACAAAAUGCCCAAAGAACACUGUGAUCAUGGUUCCUAACUCCCUUACACACAUUAUUUUGGUGUCAUUCAGGAUGCAAAAAAAACAAAAAAAAAAC
This is a long non-coding RNA of Monopterus albus (swamp eel), 4031 nucleotides long. RefSeq lists it as uncharacterized. Lineage: Eukaryota; Metazoa; Chordata; Actinopteri; Synbranchiformes; Synbranchidae. The record is from RefSeq and is a predicted model, not a curated record. The transcript has 3 exons.